UUUAUGCUGGCAUAAUGGGCCUGCAUGAUGUAUGUUCCCUGUCAGUGCUGAAACAACAGUCAGUGCGUCUGAGCAGGCCCACCUGCCAAGCAAUAUGUUCUCAAUCCCUCAGGCAGAGCAGUGCAUUGCUCGGCUAAGGAAAUGUCCCCCCACUGAGCAAAUGGCAGAGCCACGGAACACAGGCAACUGUGAGCGCAUGCGCACAGAAGAUCACAGACACACGGCAGGAGGGGCGAUGGGGAGGGACAGUGAGGAUGUUCCCGUCAAGCUUCACUUCACAGUGACAGGCAAACGAUCUCACGGUUUUUCUUUCUUUCCUUUUUUUUCUUUCUCUAAUGAACUACCAUAGGCUGCUAAUCGCAUACAUCAUUAACACAAGUGGCUGGAGGUUGGCUGUGGGAUGGCUGGCAGAUCGGUCACCGAAGCCCAAAAUGGGGAAGGGACGGGACUGAACGCUCAGGAUCACGCAGAAGGGGCCUGUCUCGUGGUGCUUAGGUGUGCCGGUGGAGGACAAAGCAUAGUCUGAUGGACCCCUCUUUGCAGGGGGGCGGGGGGGAGGCAGCACACCGCAGGUCACUAGAGAAUGCAGCAGGUUCCCCACACUGACUGAUGGGAAAGCUCCCCACCACCCUGCUUCUGCUGGUCUCCCGGAGGUGCCCCUAGACAGAGAGGCGGGCUUUGCCUUUUCCCUGGAAAAAGCAGACUUUUGUCAAGGCCGGGCACCGGGGCUUCCGGCUGGGAGUGCUCCGGCUAAUUAGGGAUAGCGUGAGGCCUGCGCUGUGAAGAAACCCUCGGAGGCACAGGACAGACUCCGCUUUCAGAUGCUGGGAAGAGGGGAGCGGGACAUGCUCCUCUCUGGGUGGGGAAGCUCUCUGCAGAUUAUGUAAUGAGGAACAAUGAAUGGCUUUCUCGCGGGCGGUGGAAGGACAGCGCUGUUCAAAGCAGUUAACACAACGUUUUUUACAAAGGCUACAAUCUUACUCGGGAUUUUAGGUCAGUCCUCUCUAACCUCUUUCAAGAUCUCCAAACGGUUUGGUCAGGUCCUGAACCGCACGGAGUGGACGGUCACAACAGUUCUCGUCGAGGCCCACGACAGACUGCUCGCUUGUAUUUUAUAUGGCUGUGCUGAGCACACGAGCUAGCACACGGGAGAACAACCUCCUCGCACCUGCUGAUGGAGGGAGGAAGGCCAGCUCCCAGAGAAAACAAGCAGCGGUUAGAUUCCGGUUCAGCCGAACGAUGAAGGAUCGUGCAGCCGCUGAAAAUUAUAGUUUGGUUCUCUAGUGAGGAACGUUUCAAAAGUACCAGAAUGUAUCAACAGGAAAAAAAGCAGUAUUUUCCCCCUGUAAUAGGCCAUAAAUUCAAGUAAGAUCCUUGGACCAGUUCAAACAUUAUUUAUGUAGGAUCAGUGCCAGAUUUUUUUACUUAAAAGGGAUUUCGUGAAUCUGACAGUCUCACCGUAAGAGCAACAACAGGUACUGCAAUGCUAUUCCAACAGACAUCAGGCUUCAGAGAAGUACGAGGCACACUCCCUGUACGAGAGGUACUUAAUGCUUAAUGAGGAAGACAGACAACGAACAACAAGUGUCCAUCCAAAGUACUCCAACUAGGGCAAUGAGCAAAUAAAUAAAUAAGCAUCCCUGACGCAACAACUUGCCAAUGACAUUAUCCAGUUGGUGGACAUUAGCCAGAUGUCUUGGGUCAGAAUCGUGGACAAAGACCGUCACCUGAAGUUUCACUCAACAACACUCAAUAACAGCGCAUGAUUAUUACAUACUAAAAAUCAAGAGGCUCCCAAAGACACUUAGUGACUGACAGCUUCAUCUCCCAGGCUUUUUAAAGUUCAUCAUGCAAACACAGACAGUGUGAAACAGUUAGUCGAAUUAAGCAUUUUCCUUAUCCUCCCCCAGCAGAACUGCGUUUGAGAUAAAGGAUAAUGGCACUAAAUGAACAGGUUAAUUAGAGACAGCAUUUACCCCCGCAGGCCCUUCACUGGAAACACCAUUUCACACCAUUACAUCACACAGGAGAGCCAGGCUCCAGGGACCAGCUCCUGAGACAGCCAGUGACCGGCAGAGAACGUAGCAAGUAGUAGAAAGGGAAAUCAUGUUGGCAUACCCAGUGUGUGUGCUCAGCCAGGAUGGCCCCCCAUAUUUCUCUAGGGCGUGAGCCCGCCAACUACAGCUGCAGGCCAA
Neofelis nebulosa (Clouded leopard) is the source of this 2195-nucleotide long non-coding RNA. RefSeq lists it as uncharacterized. The record is from RefSeq and is a predicted model, not a curated record. Lineage: Eukaryota; Metazoa; Chordata; Mammalia; Carnivora; Felidae. The transcript is spliced from 3 exons.